Molecule: unclassified non-coding RNA, 225 nt
Filed under: Hevea brasiliensis (rubber tree)
Lineage: Eukaryota; Viridiplantae; Streptophyta; Magnoliopsida; Malpighiales; Euphorbiaceae
Source: RNAcentral
UCAUGAAACUAUCACUUAAUAAAUGUAAAUAAAUAAAUAAAAAGAAAUGCUUCAUAUAAUCAUGUAAAUUUAUAUUUUAUGCUCAUAAGAUCACACUACUAUUUGUAUAUGCUAUGCUUAAUGAAAAAGCAAUGAAUAGAAGAACGCAAUCUUAUCAUUACCGUGGGAUGUAAUGCGAUUAUAGCAAAAGCAAAUGCAAUGAUCAUGGUCAUGACAAUGAAGAAG